AAAUUGAAGAGUUUGAUCAUGGCUCAGAUUGAACGCUGGCGGCAGGCCUAACACAUGCAAGUCGAACGGUAACAGGAAACAGCUUGCUGUUUCGCUGACGAGUGGCGGACGGGUGAGUAAUGUCUGGGAAACUGCCUGAUGGAGGGGGAUAACUACUGGAAACGGUAGCUAAUACCGCAUAACGUCGCAAGACCAAAGAGGGGGACCUUCGGGCCUCUUGCCAUCGGAUGUGCCCAGAUGGGAUUAGCUAGUAGGUGGGGUAACGGCUCACCUAGGCGACGAUCCCUAGCUGGUCUGAGAGGAUGACCAGCCACACUGGAACUGAGACACGGUCCAGACUCCUACGGGAGGCAGCAGUGGGGAAUAUUGCACAAUGGGCGCAAGCCUGAUGCAGCCAUGCCGCGUGUAUGAAGAAGGCCUUCGGGUUGUAAAGUACUUUCAGCGGGGAGGAAGGGAGUAAAGUUAAUACCUUUGCUCAUUGACGUUACCCGCAGAAGAAGCACCGGCUAACUCCGUGCCAGCAGCCGCGGUAAUACGGAGGGUGCAAGCGUUAAUCGGAAUUACUGGGCGUAAAGCGCACGCAGGCGGUUUGUUAAGUCAGAUGUGAAAUCCCCGGGCUCAACCUGGGAACUGCAUCUGAUACUGGCAAGCUUGAGUCUCGUAGAGGGGGGUAGAAUUCCAGGUGUAGCGGUGAAAUGCGUAGAGAUCUGGAGGAAUACCGGUGGCGAAGGCGGCCCCCUGGACGAAGACUGACGCUCAGGUGCGAAAGCGUGGGGAGCAAACAGGAUUAGAUACCCUGGUAGUCCACGCCGUAAACGAUGUCGACUUGGAGGUUGUGCCCUUGAGGCGUGGCUUCCGGAGCUAACGCGUUAAGUCGACCGCCUGGGGAGUACGGCCGCAAGGUUAAAACUCAAAUGAAUUGACGGGGGCCCGCACAAGCGGUGGAGCAUGUGGUUUAAUUCGAUGCAACGCGAAGAACCUUACCUGGUCUUGACAUCCACGGAAGUUUUCAGAGAUGAGAAUGUGCCUUCGGGAACCGUGAGACAGGUGCUGCAUGGCUGUCGUCAGCUCGUGUUGUGAAAUGUUGGGUUAAGUCCCGCAACGAGCGCAACCCUUAUCCUUUGUUGCCAGCGGUCCGGCCGGGAACUCAAAGGAGACUGCCAGUGAUAAACUGGAGGAAGGUGGGGAUGACGUCAAGUCAUCAUGGCCCUUACGACCAGGGCUACACACGUGCUACAAUGGCGCAUACAAAGAGAAGCGACCUCGCGAGAGCAAGCGGACCUCAUAAAGUGCGUCGUAGUCCGGAUUGGAGUCUGCAACUCGACUCCAUGAAGUCGGAAUCGCUAGUAAUCGUGGAUCAGAAUGCCACGGUGAAUACGUUCCCGGGCCUUGUACACACCGCCCGUCACACCAUGGGAGUGGGUUGCAAAAGAAGUAGGUAGCUUAACCUUCGGGAGGGCGCUUACCACUUUGUGAUUCAUGACUGGGGUGAAGUCGUAACAAGGUAACCGUAGGGCUGCGGUUGGAUCACCUCCUUA
RNAcentral lists this ribosomal RNA (1538 nucleotides) under Escherichia albertii. RNAcentral's name for it is "bacterial SSU rRNA". It matches the Rfam family "Bacterial small subunit ribosomal RNA". The record is from RNAcentral. Lineage: Bacteria; Pseudomonadati; Pseudomonadota; Gammaproteobacteria; Enterobacterales; Enterobacteriaceae.